Molecule: small RNA, 77 nt
Filed under: Flavobacterium branchiophilum
Lineage: Bacteria; Pseudomonadati; Bacteroidota; Flavobacteriia; Flavobacteriales; Flavobacteriaceae
Description: Flavo-1 RNA
Source: RNAcentral
CGUUAGGGAUAACAGUGGAAAUCCUUUUUUGCCCCUCUUUUUGGGGCAAAAAAGAUUAUUUCACAAUAUUAUAUUUC